UGGUGCAUGGUUGUCGUCAGCUCGUGUCGUGAGAUGUUGGGUUAAGUCCCGCAACGAGCGCAACCCUUGAUUUUAGUUGCCAGCAUUUAGUUGGGCACUCUAAAGUGACUGCCGGUGCAAGCCGGAGGAAGGUGGGGAUGACGUCAAAUCAUCAUGCCCCUUAUGACCUGGGCUACACACGUGCUACAAUGGAUAGUACAAAGGGUCGCGAAGCCGCGAGGUGGAGCUAAUCCCAUAAAACUAUUCUCAGUUCGGAUUGUAGGCUGCAACUCGCCUACAUGAAGCCGGAAUCGCUAGUAAUCGUGGAUCAGCAUGCCACGGUGAAUACGUUCCCGGGCCUUGUACACACCGCCCGUCACACCACGAGAGUUUGUAACACCCGAAGUCGGUAGGGUAACCUUUAUGGAGCCAGCCGCCGAAGGUGGGACAGAUAAUUGGGGUGAAGUCGUAACAAGGUAGCCGUAUCGGAAGGUGCGGCUGGAUCACCUCCUUUCUAAGGAA
Molecule: ribosomal RNA, 501 nt
Filed under: Listeria monocytogenes
Lineage: Bacteria; Bacillati; Bacillota; Bacilli; Caryophanales; Listeriaceae
Description: bacterial SSU rRNA
Rfam family: Bacterial small subunit ribosomal RNA
Source: RNAcentral